RNAcentral lists this ribosomal RNA (615 nucleotides) under Triticum aestivum (bread wheat). RNAcentral describes it as "partial small subunit ribosomal RNA". The record is from RNAcentral. Lineage: Eukaryota; Viridiplantae; Streptophyta; Magnoliopsida; Poales; Poaceae.
AUGUUCAGCGGGACGCAGCAGAAGUGCAAGGUGUGCACCAAGACGGUGUACCCCAUGGACCAGCUCUCCACCGACGGCGCCGUCUUCCACCGCGCCUGCUUCAAGUGCCACCACUGCAAGUCCACCCUCUCCUUUAGCAGCUACUCCUCGUUCGAAGGGGUGCCCUACUGCAAGCCCCAUUUCGCGCAGCUGUUCAAGGAGACCGGGAGCUACAACAAGAGCUUCCAAUCACAAUCACCCGCAAAAUCUGCAACGGAGAAGCUGACUCCUGAGCUGACCAGAUCGCCAAGCAAAGCUGCGGGCAUGUUUUCGGGAACACAGGACAAGUGUGCCACUUGUGGUAAAACAGCAUACCCUCUUGAGAAGGUAACAGUUGAAGAGAAGUCCUACCACAAGUCCUGCUUCAAAUGCUCUCAUGGAGGCUGCGCCCUCUCGCCGUCCAACUACGCGGCUUUGGAAGGCAUCCUCUACUGCAAGCACCAUUUCUCCCAGCUUUUCAAGGAGAAGGGGAGCUACAACCAUCUGAUCAAGUGCGCAUCGGUCAAGCGCGCAGCAGAGGCGCAAACAGCCCAGGCGGCAGCACAAACAGCGCCGGCGGCUGCUGAAUCCUCCUGA